UAAUACGUAGGAGGCAAGUGUUAUCCGGAUUUACUGGGCGUAAAGAGGGCGCGGGUGGUUCUUCAAGUCGGAUGUAAAAUCUCCCGGCUUAACUGGGAGGAGCCAUGCGAUACUGUGGAACUUGAGGGCAACAGAGGGAGGUGGAAUUCCCGGUGUAGUGGUGAAAUGCGUAGAUAUCGGGAGGAACACCAGUGGCGAAGGCGGCCUCCUGGGUUGUUCCUGACACUGAGGCCCGAAAGCGUGGGGAGCGAACAGGAUUAGAUACCCUGGUAGUCCACGCUGUAAACGAUGGACACUAGGUAUGGGGAGUAUCGACCCUCUCCGUGCCGUAGCUAACGUGUUAAGUGUCCCGCCUGGGGACUACAGCCGCAAGGCUA
This 377-nucleotide ribosomal RNA is filed under the name uncultured bacterium. RNAcentral's name for it is "bacterial SSU rRNA". It matches the Rfam family "Bacterial small subunit ribosomal RNA", at positions 521 to 896 of the family's 1533-position model. The record is from RNAcentral.